CUGAUACUAUUCCAUUGAUUCCGGAAGAACUAAGCACUGCAACCCAUCAAUACAAUACUAGGUGCUUUUAGUGGUGCCAUAUCAAAUAGAGCAAAUUUAAUUUCCUCAUUCUACACAGGGUUCUGUAACUAAGCCAAAUCAGUAUCGUGACUAGAAGGGAAAUGCCCCCUAAUCGGAAACCUCUCCAAUAUUGUACCUUUAGCAAAGUAAAGGUUAUGAAAAAAAUAACGGCUUCGUCCUUUUAACUUUUCCUCGUCAAAGCACCACUCCCCAUCUUCAUUUUUUAAAGCCCUGAUGUGGUUACGCCUUCGACAAUUCAUAGUUUUACUAUGAAAAAAAUUUGUAUUACGAUCACCCCCAUUGAAUCCAUUCAGCUCUAUACUUCUGUUUCCAAAGAAAUUCUUCUAGGUUUGGAAUCUCGUUGAAAUCUGCUCGCAAGUGCCACUCCAAAUCAACAAAGAAAGCAGUACGAUUUUGCUCUAAUGAUCUUUGAACCCCAGCUAAAUGAGCCAUAACUGUAUUCUUUCUCCACUUUAGAUUGUCAAAAAUAGUCUUAUUCUAUUUCUUUACAGCACUAGUAAAAUUCCAAACCAUCUUCAACAUAGAAUCAUUAGACUUCUAUUCGUUCCAAACUAAAUCAUGGAAAGAUGCAUCUGAAAGCCAACCAGCAGAAGACCUAAAUGGUCUUUCUCGACCACGAACUGUAUUUUUAUCCACAGAGAUAAGAACGAG
This 732-nucleotide long non-coding RNA is filed under the name Gossypium barbadense (sea-island cotton). RNAcentral describes it as "long non-coding RNA (GBAR_LNC010267)". Lineage: Eukaryota; Viridiplantae; Streptophyta; Magnoliopsida; Malvales; Malvaceae. The record is from RNAcentral.